This is a long non-coding RNA of Hemicordylus capensis (graceful crag lizard), 613 nucleotides long. RefSeq lists it as uncharacterized. The record is from RefSeq and is a predicted model, not a curated record. The transcript has 3 exons. NCBI's taxonomy places the organism in Eukaryota, Metazoa, Chordata, Lepidosauria, Squamata, Cordylidae.
CGCUGCUCCAAAGAGCGCACAGAUGCUCUCUGCAGGGUUGGAUAGUGAUAUUACAAAUGUCUCCCAGUUUCAAACUUGGGCAGGGUUUUUAAAACUUGGGUCUCCAGAGACUGUUGGACUACAACUCCCAUAAUCCCCAGCCACAUUGGCCUUUGACAUACUGACCGUGAACCUGGAGGAAUUAUGUAGCCAUAGUAACCAACAGCCGCUGAUUGACUUUCACCCCAUGAAUCUGUCUAAUCCCUUUAAAGCCAUCUAGACUAGCGGCCAUCCCCACAUUAUGGCAAGAAAGAAUAGAUAAUGAAGAAAAGAAAGGGAGGGAGAUGCGAAAGAAAGGAACAUGAACAGAACUGAUGCAUCCACAAACAGUAACAGCUGAAGCCUCAAGGGAGAUGUACCUGAUAAAUGGCUUCAUCACAGGCAUUAUGUAGACCCAGAUUCACCAUCGUGUUUUGAAGUGUUCGGCCCAUGUAGAAUUCCAAAGAUAGGUAAUAAAUGCGCUAGAAAAAUAGAGGAAAAGAGCAGUGAGAUUUUAUGUGGAAUGUAGAAAUUCUUACCCUGACUUAAACAGUACCACAGUCAAGAAUCAACGAGUUGCAAUGUUGUUGUUAUU